RNAcentral lists this unclassified non-coding RNA (359 nucleotides) under uncultured bacterium. Its description in RNAcentral is "partial 16S-23S ribosomal RNA intergenic spacer". The stretch from base 212 to 285 matches the Rfam family "tRNA". The record is from RNAcentral.
ACUUUAGAAUUGUUUUACUCUCGCUGUUAAUUCAAAAAAAACAAGUUUAAUACAGAGUCUCGUAGCUCAGCUGGUUAGAGUACUACACUGAUAAUGUAGGGGUCGGCAGUUCGAGUCUGCCCGGGACUACUAAAUUAAACAUUAAGGAAAUUCUAGAGGUUAGCUAACCGUAAGUUACUGUUAACUGUUCUGUUAACUAACAACUACACACGGGGGAUUAGCUCAGCUGGCUAGAGCGCCUGCCUUGCACGCAGGAGGUCAUCGGUUCGACUCCGAUAUUCUCCACUAUUCCGAAAGGAACUACCGUUCAUUGACAUAUUGAGAUAAGAAAAAUACAAACAAGUAGAAAGCACAGUUGG